AUGAUAGGCUGUGUGUUGGGCACAGACCUAUGCCCGAAUAACAUCUGGCAAUUUUUUUCUUGGUGCUAUGUAUUCUUACCUGAUGGAGCCAGAUUCUAUAUUUUUGGACUGGCAGCCGUAUGCUGGGCUAUCUGGAACAACCAUAACCAAGUUACUUCUGAGCAUAAACAACUUAAAACACCUUUUAAUGUGGUGUACUCUGCAUGUGGCUUUUUGAUAUACUGGGCAGGCUUGAUGACUGGUGCUGACAAGGAGACAAUGGAGCAUGGUGCCAAGAUGCUCAAGACAAACGCGUCGGCAAUGAUGAGAAUUUGUGCAGCUCCAACCAGGGCGAUGAUGGAUUGA
This 345-nucleotide ribosomal RNA is filed under the name Triticum aestivum (bread wheat). RNAcentral's name for it is "partial small subunit ribosomal RNA". Lineage: Eukaryota; Viridiplantae; Streptophyta; Magnoliopsida; Poales; Poaceae. The record is from RNAcentral.